UACAGAGGGGGCAAGCGUUGUUCGGAAUUACUGGGCGUAAAGGGCGCGUAGGCGGCCUUCUAAGUCGAACGUGAAAUCCCCGGGCUCAACCCGGGAACUGCGUCCGAUACUGGAAGGCUUGAAUCCGGGAGAGGGAUGCGGAAUUCCAGGUGUAGCGGUGAAAUGCGUAGAUAUCUGGAGGAACACCGGUGGCGAAGGCGGCGACCUGGGCCAAUACUGACGCUGAGGUGCGAAAGCGUGGGGAGCAAACAGG
This 253-nucleotide ribosomal RNA is filed under the name uncultured bacterium. RNAcentral describes it as "partial 16S ribosomal RNA". It matches the Rfam family "Bacterial small subunit ribosomal RNA", at positions 524 to 776 of the family's 1533-position model. The record is from RNAcentral.